RNAcentral lists this ribosomal RNA (2264 nucleotides) under Triticum aestivum (bread wheat). Its description in RNAcentral is "partial small subunit ribosomal RNA". Lineage: Eukaryota; Viridiplantae; Streptophyta; Magnoliopsida; Poales; Poaceae. The record is from RNAcentral.
GCAAUUAAAGAUUGCAUCCAUAAACAUGUUGACAUUACAUAAGCAGACAUUACAUAGUACUAUAUUAGAAAAUACUAACAAACACAUAUGUACAAAAACUGAAAAAGCUAGAAGCUAAUCAGAAAAGAAAACGAAAAAUAAUGGUAAUAGGCCAAAACAGAACAGCCUACUACCGUGGCAAAGCCACCUUCUUUCUUUUCGUUUUUUAUUUUUUUUUCUCUGCUGCUCGUACAACAUGGAUUAGUGGCUAGUGUGCUGGCUGUCCAACAGCCAUACACACGCACGAGUGGAUAGGGAGGCGACGGGAUACUUCGUUCCCAUCGACAAUCAUCCCCAAUCCAACUCGAGCGGUGGCUGUCUGCAUCACUACCACCAAUCUCCGCCUCCAGCGACUGCCUCACCGGCGGGAGGUCGACGGCCCCGGCGCAGCAUCUUCCUCCUCUGAAGAAGAUCCACCAGGAAGCUGCGUCCCAGGUGCGACGCCGUUGGAGUGGCCGUUGGCCAGUCCGAGAACCACCGCGCGGCUGCGUUGCAGCUCGGCCCGCGGCACUAUGUGCCAGCGGCGGGGCGCCGAUGGGCCAGUGGAGCUGCUCGCCCAGUUGUCGAAGACGUCCCCGAGUGUAGCAGCCCGUGCGGGGAGGCGCAGCCCGAGGCUAGCGCUCGACGAAGAAGCCCCAGCGCCGGCCGCCUCGUGCGCCGGCGUCGGAGAUGGAAGACGCGGGGAGUUCGGCUGCGCGGGCUCCGCGGGCGGCACAGGCGACGCAGGUUCGGCCUCCUCCUGGACCUCGUAAUCUUGUGGCGGGGGUGGUUGCAGGACCAUCCAUGGCCCCCAACCAUGCACCAGGCACGGACGUGGUGGUGGAGGAGCCGCAAGUUCCGGCUCAACGUCGACGUCCACUGCGUCGUCCGCGGGCUCCAGUACCUCGUCCGCAUACAGGUUUGGAGCGGCCAGUCCGGCAAGAAUCCAGGCCGGGAGUGGCGCCGCCGCCCGCAUGGCCGGUUCGGGCGGAGCCUUAGAAGGCCCAGCACCAUCGCGACCUCGGGCGCCAUGUCCAAGACGUGGUCCGCGGCGACGGAAACCGUUCCGGUGGCCUCUGAACCGGCGCAGAUCACGGGCGUGGCGGUUGUGGCGGCGAAGUCCACCAACACCAUGGCGACGACGACGGCCCUGUCGGCGUCUACCGCCGCUACGAACAAGGUGCAGGAAGAAGGACAGGAGACCACAAGGCAUCCUCUCACCUUUUCCUUUUUUCCCUUCUGGCUCUCUUUUCCGGCUACUGUCGCCGGCGUGAUUUGCCUAUGCGUGCUCUGGGCAGAGACAAGUGCUGAUAACGUAUUAAAGAAUGAUUUGAUGGAAGUGUCUUAUUCCAUUGAUGAUCACACAUUUAUACAGGGGGAAUCGGCGCUUAUGAGAAGAUGCGCCUGUUCGAGGGGAUGCGAGGAGCGGAUGCGACGGUUGCCUGGAGAGGUUCCCGCACAAACGAGGCGGCGGUUGCCUCGAGAGGAUCCCGUGCAUGCUGUUAUUUACAACAAGGAUUAUCUCUAAUAAUUAAAUCCUAACAGUUAUAAAGAAAUUCGGUAGGUAUUUAUACUGCUACACACGCAAUCAGAAAUAUUUCUUUUUACCAGUUUCUUCCCUUUGUGUACACGGUAAUUCAUCGAGCACAGAUCUGAUAACUCAAACACCGUUGUAAAAAAAAUAUUGGUGUAACACAUUCCGAUAACUUAUUUGUAAAAACAACAUGGUAAUUAUAUGACAUGUAACUCACUCACAAACACCGUGGUAACUUUCGACCAGAAGAAAAAAUGUUGUUCUAACACAUUCCGACAACUUAUUUGUAGAAAAGAGCAUGGUAAUUUAUAUGCCAUGAAUAUGAUAACUCACACAUACACACCGCGGUAACUUUUUUGACCACAUGAAAAAAAAGUUGUUAUAACACCCCAAAUAACAUCUUUAUAAAAAACAUGGUAAUAUAUACGCCACAAACCUGGUAACCCACUCACAAAUACUGCGGUAACUUUCGGUGCAAAGAAGAAAAGUUGUUGUAACACACACCAAUAACUUCUCUACAAAAGGGCAUCAUAAUUUAUAUGCCACGAACUUGAUAACUCACACACAACAAUGUUAUUCACACAAAAUUUACCAAGGGAUAUUUCGACAACCCCUACCCCUCCCCCUACCAAAGCUAUGAGGAACAGAGUACAUAAGUUAUCAGGUCUGUGAUGUGUGAGUUAUCAUAUUGUUCAUAUAAAAAUUACCAGGG